Molecule: transfer RNA, 66 nt
Filed under: Hymenolepis microstoma
Lineage: Eukaryota; Metazoa; Platyhelminthes; Cestoda; Cyclophyllidea; Hymenolepididae
Description: tRNA-Phe
Rfam family: tRNA
About the family: Transfer RNA (tRNA) molecules are approximately 80 nucleotides in length. Their secondary structure includes four short double-helical elements and three loops (D, anti-codon, and T loops).
Source: RNAcentral
UUUCUCUUAGCUUAAUGUUUAAAGCAUUAGUUUGAAGAGCUAAAGAUAAUUGAUUAUUAGGGAGAC